UGGGUGGGGGACAACCGUGGGAAACUACGGCUAAUACCGCAUGAUCCCUGAGGGGCAAAGGCGAAAGUCGCCUGAGGAGGAGCCUGCGUCUGAUUAGGUAGUUGGUGGGGUAAAGGCCUACCAAGCCUGCGAUCAGUAGCUGGUCUGAGAGGAUGAUCAGCCACACUGGGACUGAGACACGGCCCAGACUCCUACGGGAGGCAGCAGUGGGGAAUAUUGGACAAUGGGCGAAAGCCUGAUCCAGCAAUGCCGCGUGGAUGAAGAAGGUCUUCGGAUUGUAAAGUCCUUUUGGCGGGGACGAUGAUGACGGUACCCGCAGAAUAAGCUCCGGCUAACUUCGUGCCAGCAGCCGCGGUAAUACGAAGGGGGCUAGCGUUGCUCGGAAUGACUGGGCGUAAAGGGCGCGUAGGCGGACGGCACAGUCAGGCGUGAAAUUCCUGGGCUCAACCUGGGGACUGCGUCUGAGACGUGUUGUCUUGAGUAUGGAAGAGGGUUGUGGAAUUUCCAGUGUAGAGGUGAAAUUCGUAGAUAUUGGAAAGAACACCGGUGGCGAAGGCGGCAACCUGGUCCAUUACUGACGCUGAGGCGCG
Molecule: ribosomal RNA, 590 nt
Filed under: Acidiphilium cryptum
Lineage: Bacteria; Pseudomonadati; Pseudomonadota; Alphaproteobacteria; Acetobacterales; Acidocellaceae
Description: bacterial SSU rRNA
Rfam family: Bacterial small subunit ribosomal RNA
Source: RNAcentral